This 537-nucleotide ribosomal RNA is filed under the name uncultured bacterium. Its description in RNAcentral is "bacterial SSU rRNA". It matches the Rfam family "Bacterial small subunit ribosomal RNA", at positions 356 to 898 of the family's 1533-position model. The record is from RNAcentral.
UGGGGAAAUUGCACNAUGGGCGCAAGCCUGAUGCAGCGACGCCGCGUGGGGGAUGACGGCCUUCGGGUUGUAAACUCCUUUCGCCAGGGACGAAGCGUUUUGUGACGGUACCUGGAGAAGAAGCACCGGCUAACUACGUGCCAGCAGCCGCGGUAAUACGUAGGGUGCAAGCGUUGUCCGGAAUUACUGGGCGUAAAGAGCUCGUAGGUGGUUUGUCACGUCGUCUGUGAAAUUCCACAGCUUAACUGUGGGCGUGCAGGCGAUACGGGCUGACUUGAGUACUGUAGGGGUAACUGGAAUUCCUGGUGUAGCGGUGAAAUGCGCAGAUAUCAGGAGGAACACCGAUGGCGAAGGCAGGUUACUGGGCAGUUACUGACGCUGAGGAGCGAAAGCAUGGGUAGCAAACAGGAUUAGAUACCCUGGUAGUCCAUGCCCGUAAAACGGUGGGCGCUAGGUGUAGGGGCCUUUUGGGGUUUCUGUGCCGUAGCUAAACGCAUUAAGCGCCCCGCCUGGGGAGUACGGCCCGCAAAGGCUAAA